This 552-nucleotide ribosomal RNA is filed under the name uncultured cyanobacterium. RNAcentral's name for it is "bacterial SSU rRNA". It matches the Rfam family "Bacterial small subunit ribosomal RNA", at positions 42 to 625 of the family's 1533-position model. Lineage: Bacteria; Bacillati; Cyanobacteriota. The record is from RNAcentral.
GCGUGCCUUAACAUUUAACAAGUCGAACGAACCUUCCGGUUAGUGGACGGACGGGUGAGUAACGUCAAUCUAGCCCUCACGAGGGGGACAACAGUUGGAAACGACUGCUAAUACCCCAUAUGCCGCGAGGUGAAAUGAAUUUCGCCUGAAGGAUGAGACUCGACGUCUGAUUAGCUAGUUGGUGUACGGUAAUGGCUCACCAAGGCAUCGAUCAGUAGCUGGUCUGAGAGGAUGAUCAGCCACACUGGGACUGAGACACGGCCCAGACUCCUACGGGAGGCAGCAGUGGGGAAUUUUCCGCAAUGGGCGAAAGCCUGACGGAGCAACGCCGCGUGAGGGAUGAAGGCCUCUGGGCUGUACAACCUCUUUUAUCAAGGAAGAACGAUCUGACGGUACUUGAUGAAUAAGCCACAGGCUAAUUCCUGUAGCCAGCAAGCCGCGGUAAUACAGGGAGUGGCAAGCAGUUAUCCGGAAUUAUUGGGCCGUAAAGGCCGUCCAGAAAGUGCUGAGCACCAUUCAAAGUCUAGCCUCGUUCAAAACGGUCGGAAGCUU